Molecule: ribosomal RNA, 460 nt
Filed under: uncultured bacterium
Lineage: Bacteria
Description: partial 16S ribosomal RNA
Rfam family: Bacterial small subunit ribosomal RNA
Source: RNAcentral
CCUACGGGAGGCAGCAGUGAGGAAUAUUGGUCAAUGGGCGCGAGCCUGAACCAGCCAAGUAGCGUGAAGUAUGACUGCCCUACGGGUUGUAAACUUCUUUUAUAAAGGAAUAAAGUGAGGCACGUGUGCCUUUUUGUAUUUACUUUAUGAAUAAGGAUCGGCUAACUACGUGCCAGCAGCCUCGGUAAUACGGAGGAUCCGCGCGUUAUCCGGAUUUAUUGGGUUUAAAGGGAGCGUAGAUGGGUUGUUAAGUUCGUUGUGAAAGUUUGCGGUUCAACCGUAAAAUUGCAAUUGAUACUGGCAGCCUUGAGUACAGUUGAGGUAGGCGGAAUUCGUGGUGUAGCGGUGAAAUGCUUAGAUAUCACGAAGAACUCCGAUUGCGAAGGCAGCCUACUAAACUGCCACUGACAUUGAUGCUCGAAAGUGUGGGUAUCAAACAGGAUUAGAUACCCGAGUAGUC